GAUGAAGAACGUAGCGAAAUGCGCUAAGUAAUGUGAAUUGCAGAAUUCAGUGAAUCAUCGAAUCUUUGAACGCACAUUGCGCCCGCCAGUAUUCUGGCGGGCAUGCCUGUUCGAGCGUCAUUACAACCCUCAGGCCCCCGGGCCUGGCGUUGGGGAUCGGCGGAGCCCCCCGUGGGCACACGCCGUCCCCCAAAUACAGUGGCGGUCCCGCCGCAGCUUCCAUCGCGUAGUAGCUAACACCUCGCGACUGGAGAGCGGCGCGGCCACGCCGUAAAACACCCAACUCUUCUGAAGUUGACCUCGAAUCAGGUAGGAAUACCCGCUGAACUUAAGCAUAUCAAUAAGCGGAGGA
This 352-nucleotide unclassified non-coding RNA is filed under the name soil metagenome. RNAcentral's name for it is "partial contains 5.8S ribosomal RNA, internal transcribed spacer 2, and large subunit ribosomal RNA". The stretch from base 1 to 120 matches the Rfam family "5.8S ribosomal RNA", at positions 35 to 154 of the family's 154-position model. The record is from RNAcentral.